Molecule: ribosomal RNA, 496 nt
Filed under: uncultured crenarchaeote
Lineage: Archaea; Thermoproteati; Thermoproteota
Description: bacterial SSU rRNA
Rfam family: Archaeal small subunit ribosomal RNA
Source: RNAcentral
GAUCCUGCCGGACCCGACUGCUAUUGGGGUGAGGCUAAGCCAUGCGAGUUAGCUCUCCUAGCCAUGAUGGAGGGCGGCAUACGGCUCAGUAACAUGUGGUCAAUCUACCCUCAGGACGGAGAUAACCUCGGGAAACUGAGGCUAAUAUCCGAUAGAUAAUGGAUCCUGGAAUGGUUCAUUAUUCAAACGGCACAUUGCUCAUGCGCAGUGUGUCGCCUGAGGAUGAGACUGCACCCUAUCAGGUAGUUGGUGGGGUAACGGCCCACCAAGCCUAUAACGGGUACGGGCCCUGAGAGGGGGAGCCCGGAGAUGGGCACUGAGACAAGGGCCCAGGCCCUACGGGGCGCAGCAGGCGCGAAACCUCUGCAAUGCGCGAAAGCGCGACAGGGCCACCCUGAGUGCUAGCCGCUGAGGUUAGCUUUUCCUUAGUGUAGUAAGCUAAGGGAAUAAGCGGGGGGCAAGCCUGGUGUCAGCCGCCGCGGUAAYACCAGCANNA